GGAGGGAUGGCAGAGCGGUUGAAUGCGGCAGUCUUGAAAACUGUUGAGCGGGCAGCCCCCGUUCCCGGGGUUCGAAUCCCCGUCCCUCCGCCA
This 93-nucleotide transfer RNA is filed under the name Coriobacteriales bacterium. Its description in RNAcentral is "tRNA-Ser". It matches the Rfam family "tRNA". Rfam says of the family: Transfer RNA (tRNA) molecules are approximately 80 nucleotides in length. Their secondary structure includes four short double-helical elements and three loops (D, anti-codon, and T loops). Lineage: Bacteria; Bacillati; Actinomycetota; Coriobacteriia; Coriobacteriales. The record is from RNAcentral.